Molecule: long non-coding RNA, 322 nt
Filed under: Homo sapiens (human)
Lineage: Eukaryota; Metazoa; Chordata; Mammalia; Primates; Hominidae
Description: non-protein coding lnc-AGR3-3:1
Source: RNAcentral
UGACUUCAGGAAUGAAGCCACAGACCCACUCGCUGGGAGUGUUACAGCUCAUAAAGGUAGUGUGGACCCAAACAGACAGCAGUGAAUAAGUCACAACAGAUGGUGAGUGAAGGUGUAAACCUUGGGAACCUCUAGCAGGAGCCACCUCCUGUGUGGAAGGUGACCAGAGGGCAGUGCAGCCAGUGCCAUGACCCAGGGCCAAGAUGUAAUGAUUGCAAUGCUGCUACCUCCACCAUUUGGUAAAGCAGAUUUCAGUCAACUAGUUUGGUUUUCUCAUCUACAAUAUGUAAAGCAAGUGGUCUCAUUUUGGCUUUGAUUUGAC